Molecule: ribosomal RNA, 102 nt
Filed under: Klebsiella pneumoniae
Lineage: Bacteria; Pseudomonadati; Pseudomonadota; Gammaproteobacteria; Enterobacterales; Enterobacteriaceae
Source: RNAcentral
UGGCGGCACUAGCGCGGUGGUCCCACCUGACCCCAUGCCGAACUCAGAAGUGAAACGCAAAAAAAAAAGAAGGAACGUUGAAGACGACGACGUUGAUAGGCC